Molecule: ribosomal RNA, 504 nt
Filed under: Triticum aestivum (bread wheat)
Lineage: Eukaryota; Viridiplantae; Streptophyta; Magnoliopsida; Poales; Poaceae
Description: partial small subunit ribosomal RNA
Source: RNAcentral
UGCGCCACGGCGCUGCUGUCUCCCUCCGCCGCCGCGGCGCCCAUCCGCCAGAGGGUCGGCUACGGCUCCGGCUCCUCCUCCAACCGCCGGUGGGCCCACGGGCCGGACGCCGCGUCCUGGAUCCGGCGCCCGACGACUCGCUCCAGGACAGCGAGGGUGAGCUGCGCCUACUCUACCGGUGCUGAAGCAAUCACUGCAUGUUCCUGGAACCAAAAUGUCAUGUGCAGUGAUGUACCUGUGCUUGUGGAGUUUUGGGCCUCAUGGUGUGGACCUUGUAAAAUGGUCCAUCGAAUUGUCGACGAGAUUGCAGGCGAGUACGCUGGAAGGAUAAAAUGCUAUAAGCUUGACACUGAUGAUUACCCACAAACUGCAAACUCCUACAAUAUCGAGAGGGUUCCGACUGUUUUACUAUUCAAGGAUGGAGAGAAAAUACAUAGUAUUACUGGAACUCUGCCAAAAGCCGUUUAUGUGAGGGCCAUUGAGAAUUCUUUCUUGGAACAGUGA